This is a long non-coding RNA of Cyprinus carpio carpio, 3416 nucleotides long. NCBI's taxonomy places the organism in Eukaryota, Metazoa, Chordata, Actinopteri, Cypriniformes, Cyprinidae. The record is from Ensembl.
UGUCAGGGUUCUAGGAAGGAGGACCCAAUUGCAGAGUGAGUGAACAAUGGUUUAUUGACAAAACAGACUGAAACAAGAGGGUAGUGAAGUGCACAAAUACCACAACAGGAACACAAUAAACAGGAACAGCUAGGGAAGGCCACUGGGUCAGCUUCAGGAAACUUGCAGAAUACAUUGGCAACAGAGGGGGCGGCAAGACCAGGCUGAUGGAGAAGACCACACAAGGCAUCAUAGAGCAGAGCUCAAACAUUAGGUGACCGCCGACUCAGAAGCAGACCAAGAGCCAGGCAGAUAGUACAAGGGCAGGACACACGGGAACAGAUCAGGAACUCUAACACAAGACUAGACACGACAAAGCUCCACAGAAACACAAAUUAACCCCAAGAUAAGGGAAAAAAAUAAACCAAUGAACUAAUAAAGAGUAAAGUAACAAAAAUAAGAAAUAAUUACCAAUUUAACCAACUUAAAGAAUAUCAAACAAAACCAAGAAUCAGGACUAGAAAAACUAAAUUACAAGUAAAAUAAGAGAACAGAUUACCAACCUAAGGAGCAAGACAAGAACACGAAACAACAAGGACUAGACAAAACAAGGGCACAAGACCAACCAGACAGGGAGACACAGGCACAUAUAGCCAUAUCCACAGACAGCUACGAAGACGGUGACAGAGGGGGUGAAAAUGACCACGAACCAGCAAAAACAAAAGGGUAAGGAGCACUAUAAAUAGGGAGGAAAACACAUGAGGAACAGGUGAGCACAAUUAGACUAACAAGGCUAACAAGAGGGUGACGUAGAAAUGAAACAAGGAGGAGGGACUAAGGGAGCACAUGGCAGAGAAAACAACUAACAAGGCCAUGUGCUGACAAGACAUAAACAAGAAACAAAACCCAGUGACAGUGCAAAACCCUGACACUACCCCCCUCCCAAUGGACGCCUCCUGGCAUCCACUCAGACUACACAAUAGUUGCAAGAGUAGAAAGUGCAGGUAGCGGGGGGGGGGGGGUUGUGGUGAAAGUCAGCAUCAAGCGGUAGCACUGUGGUUGAGCAGACUGUUCAGGAACAUCUUCAGAGGUCAUGACAGGGAUAGUAUACUGGGGGAUAGCCUCCACAGGUGGAACAUGACUAGCUGGAUCACUCUGAGGGACUCGUUAGAAGCAGCAGAUAGCUGGUCUGGUAUGAUCUCAGUGGUGCAACUUCUAGGCAGGAACAUCCUCUGAGGGACUCGUCAGAAGCAGCAGUUAGCUGAUCCAGUAUGAUCUCAGUGAGUGCAACUUCUAGCAGGAACCACCUCCUUGGGCUUGACAAGACAAACAGGAACAAUCUUCAAGGAUGGGACAAAACAGACAGGAUAGCCUCUUCAGGUGGCUGACAACUAGUAGGAACAUCCUCUGAGGGACUCGUCAGAAGCAGCCAAUUGCUGGUCUGGUAUGAUCUCAGUGGGCGCAACUUCUAUCAGGAUCAUCCUCUGAGGGACUCAUCAGAAGCAGCAGAUAGCUGGUCUGGUAUGAUCUCAGUGACUGUACCUUGACUAGCAGGAACAACCUUUGUGGGCUUGACAAGACAAACAAGAACGCAUCUCCAUGGCCAUGACCCAACUGGCAAGGGCGGCCUCAGGACAUAACAGGACAGACAGGAACAUUUUAUAUGGCCAUAACUUGACAGACAGGAACAUUUUAUAUGGCCAUAACUUGACGGUAGGAACAACUAUGGCCAUGACCCAACUGGCAGGAACGACCUCUAUAGGAGUGACAGGACAAGCAGGAACACUUUGUAUGGCCCAGACAUGAUGGGUAGGGACAACCUCUGAAGGCAUGACUUGACAACAUCUUCCGUGGACAUGACAGGAGUGAACUCUGGAUGCUUGACAACAUCUUCCGUGGACAUGACAGGAGUGAACUCUGGGGACUAGACAGCAUCUGUGGACAUGACAGGAGUGAUCUCUGGACACUUGACAAAUGACAGGAGAAACUUCAGUGGGCAUGGUGACAAGAUUGACUUCUGAUGACAGGAUGUGAGAGGCUAGAACAGUCUCCGGUACAACUUCUGUAACAGUCAAAUAGGCUGGGAGGUUUGGUAGAAUACCCUUGUAACUAUGACUUGAGGUUCUGACAACAAGACCACCGAACUAAACACCUCUGGACUAGGUUCCAAUAUUGACUGGGGAAGGACUGUGGGGGCUAUUGGAAGAGACUCGGGGGCUGCAGGAACUGAUUCUUGAUGCCCUCCGGGGCUGGAGCCGACACUGGAGCGAGCUCUGGGGCUGGAGCCGACACUGGAGCGGCUUGGAUAACUUUAAUUCUGACUGGAAUGAUUUGAAGCAAAGAUGACUACAGCAAUCCCAGCAGAGUUUGAAACUGACUUGACGGAUUCAGAAAUUGAACUUGACUAGAUCAGGGAUAGCUGCAGCAAUCAGCCAACUCAGGGGUAUCUGAAACUAACAAGACAUGAUUAACAUUCAGGGCAAAAAAAAUUCACUAGAUAAAAUGAAAAAAAAAAAACCCGGAGUAGUGAUGCUCAUCUGCUGGGUCCUGACUUGGGCUGGUUCGUAAUGUCAGGGAUCUGAGAAGGAGGACCCAGUUAGAGAGUGAGUGAACAAUGGUUUAUUGACAAAACAGACUGAUACAAGAGGGUAGUGAAGUGCACAAAUACCACAACAGGAACACAAUAAACAGGAACAGCUAGGGAAGGCCACUGGGUCAGCUUCAGGAAACUUGCAGAAUACAUUGGCAACAGAGGGGGCGGCAAGACCAGGCUGAUGGAGAAGACCACACAAGGCAUCAUAGAGCAGAGCUCAAACAUUAGGUGACCGCCGACUCAGAAGCAGACCAAGAGUCAGGCAGAUAGAACAAGGGCAGGACACACGGGAACAGAUCAGGAACUCUAACACAAGACUAGACACGACAAAGCUCCACAGAAACACAAAUUAACCCCAAGAUAAGGGAAAAAAAUAAACCAAUGAACUAAUAAAGAGUAAAGUAACAAAAAUAAGAAAUAAUUACCAAUUUAACCAACUUAAAGAAUAUCAAACAAAACCAAGAAUCAGGACUAGAAAAACUAAAUUACAAGUAAAAUAAAAGCAAGAACAAACAGAUUACCAACCUAAGGAGCAAGACAAGAACAUGAAACAACAAGGACUAGACAAAACAAGGGCACAAGACCAACCAGACAGGGAGACACGGGCACAUAUAAAGCCAUAUCCACAGACAGCUAUGAAGACAGUGACAGAGGGGGUGAAAAUGACCACGAACCAGCAAAAACAAAAGGGUAAGGAGCACUAUAAAUAGGGAGGAAAACACAUGAGGAACAGGUGAGCACAAUUAGACUAACAAGGCUAACAAGAGGGUGACGUAGAAAAGAAACAAGGAGGGACUAAGGGAGCACAUGGCAGAGAAAACAACUAACAAGGCCAUGUGCUGAC